Molecule: long non-coding RNA, 1865 nt
Filed under: Zonotrichia albicollis (white-throated sparrow)
Lineage: Eukaryota; Metazoa; Chordata; Aves; Passeriformes; Passerellidae
Description: lncRNA (ENSZALG00000016124.1)
Source: RNAcentral
GCAGCUGUGCGACUCUGACUCCCGUGGGCUGUGACAAAGGAUACUCUCUCCUGAUCCAGACCCCAGGAACCUUUAACCAUUAUCCUAGAGCACAAGGAGAUUUGGGGAGAUUUAAAUGAAAUUUUUCAAAAAAAGAUAGUCAAGUAUUCUCAUUAUCCUGCUGCUCCCAUCCAACUUUCCACCUCUCUGCACAUUUGCUUCCUUUAAGAAAAUCUGCUCAUUUAUUUUGUGAGCCUUAGCAAGAUCCCAGGCCUUGAAGUUCUGGCUCUUCGAGGUUGGAGAUCCUAAAGAAUAUUGAGAAUUGUAUUGAUUGAGGUUUUCUUGGUGUUAUACAGCAAUGCCCAUGUACUCAAGGAGCCUUUUUGAGAACAUGCUAAUUCGACAGAGAAUCAGCAGCCAACACUGUUGUCUUAAGAAGAGGACUGAAGAGGAAAAGACAAUGCUGAGAGCCUUACUGACCUCUUUCAACAGCCUCCCCACAUGCAGCUGCUUUUGGGAAGCAAAUGUGGGGCAGUCAGAGGAUCUAAAAAGUAUGGGGAUUCACUGCUGUAUAUCACAUGUAUAUCAUGUGAAUAACAUCUUUCAAUUAGGAGCAUCCCACAUUCACCCAGCUCCUUGUGGUACAUGGAUCACAUACAUACAUGGUACCAGGAUGUGCAACAGACAAAAGAGUUGACAACUGAAAUAUAGCAUGGGAAUAGCCUUCAAGAAGGAACGAAGCAUGGCCUUGUUCUGAAACAAAUUGUUUUACUGAAUUCUAUCCCUUCAAAAUUACAUUGUACUGUGCAUUCCUCAUGCCAGAGUCCAGCCCAGAAAGAAAUUGGUCCCUGAAUUUUUCUAAAUAUCAAAGAAAAAGUUCUGUAAAAAUCUCUUUUUUAAUAGGGUCUUUCAAUAGUAAAACACUGCUUGGCUAAAGCAAGGGACACCAAGAGCUGGUGUUUGGAAGACAGAUUAUAGUUGAAACUCAGAAUAUCUGAGUGAUUCGUCAACCAGUGAUUAUUAAGGCAUUGAAUUUCACGGAACAGCUUGGUUUUAAACAAGUUCUUUCUAUGCUUUUUCUGUAUGUAUGUGUUUAAGCAAAUGCACCUUUCCACAUUGCCUAUAAACCUUUUACCAGUUGACUUCUACCCCCAUGCUGUUCAUCACAGCUUCAUGCUCAUAUUCCUUAUUAGAAACGUAGGAGGAAACAUUGUUUUUUGCCAUUGGAGAAGACACCAGAAAGACUUUAGAAGUUUCUGAAGUGCAUUGCACUGCUAUACCGGUUGUCCAAUUUUUUUAGAUUAUUGUAUGUGUGCCUGCUGCUUGCAGUGGUUUGAAAGCAGGAAGACCUUUAAAGUCCACAAUACUAAAAGUUGAGCUUGAACUCAGCUGAAGUCGUUCACUCAGGUCUUGGAACAGCUCCAAAAAGAUACUCAAUGUGCCCUGCACACAGAUUUGUGGGAAACUGUGAAGAAAAACAAACAGAUGACCUUAGAACAUUUGUUGUCAAUGAAGUGCAGUAGACAAAGAUAUCCAACAGUAGAGAAUGGUUGAGUUGGAUGAGGUCUUGCAGGUGUUAAUCUGAUGUAGUGAAAACAAGAAGCUGAUAGAAAAACGAACAUAAAUGAAAAUGUAGAUAGGUUUUCUAGAGCUUAUCAUUUUAGCAGCAGCUUUUGGGCCUAAAUAGUUGCCUGUGAUCAGGAGGAAAAAUCACACAAUUGCUUCUGUUUCCUUAUUAGGUAAACCUGCAUAUACUUGCAGCUUAAUUGAGUAAACAUGCACAUUUAAAAUUCAGUGCAUAAAAUAUUUGUAAAAAGUUAGCAGAUGAAAGAAGCUUAAAAUCAGCAUGAUGCAAAAUAAAGUUGCAGUUUUCCACCUUUAACCCA